RNAcentral lists this ribosomal RNA (2631 nucleotides) under Escherichia coli. Its description in RNAcentral is "partial 23S ribosomal RNA". It matches the Rfam family "Bacterial large subunit ribosomal RNA". Lineage: Bacteria; Pseudomonadati; Pseudomonadota; Gammaproteobacteria; Enterobacterales; Enterobacteriaceae. The record is from RNAcentral.
GGGUUGUGAGGUUAAGCGACUAAGCGUACACGGUGGAUGCCCUGGCAGUCAGAGGCGAUGAAGGACGUGCUAAUCUGCGAUAAGCGUCGGUGAGGUGAUAUGAACCGUUAUAACCGGCGAUUUCCGAAUGGGGAAACCCAGUGUGUUUCGACACACUAUCAUUAACUGAAUCCAUAGGUUAAUGAGGCGAACCGGGGGAACUGAAACAUCUAAGUACCCCGAGGAAAAGAAAUCAACCGAGAUUCCCCCAGUAGCGGCGAGCGAACGGGGAGGAGCCCAGAGCCUGAAUCAGUGUGUGUGUUAGUGGAAGCGUCUGGAAAGGCGUGCGAUACAGGGUGACAGCCCCGUACACAAAAAUGCACAUAUUGUGAGCUCGAUGAGUAGGGCGGGACACGUGGUAUCCUGUCUGAAUAUGGGGGGACCAUCCUCCAAGGCUAAAUACUCCUGACUGACCGAUAGUGAACCAGUACCGUGAGGGAAAGGCGAAAAGAACCCCGGCGAGGGGAGUGAAAAAGAACCUGAAACCGUGUACGUACAAGCAGUGGGAGCCUCUUAAUGGGGUGACUGCGUACCUUUUGUAUAAUGGGUCAGCGACUUAUAUUCUGUAGCAAGGUUAACCGAAUAGGGGAGCCGAAGGGAAACCGAGUCUUAACUGGGCGUUAAGUUGCAGGGUAUAGACCCGAAACCCGGUGAUCUAGCCAUGGGCAGGUUGAAGGUUGGGUAACACUAACUGGAGGACCGAACCGACUAAUGUUGAAAAAUUAGCGGAUGACUUGUGGCUGGGGGUGAAAGGCCAAUCAAACCGGGAGAUAGCUGGUUCUCCCCGAAAGCUAUUUAGGUAGCGCCUCGUGAAUUCAUCUCCGGGGGUAGAGCACUGUUUCGGCAAGGGGGUCAUCCCGACUUACCAACCCGAUGCAAACUGCGAAUACCGGAGAAUGUUAUCACGGGAGACACACGGCGGGUGCUAACGUCCGUCGUGAAGAGGGAAACAACCCAGACCGCCAGCUAAGGUCCCAAAGUCAUGGUUAAGUGGGAAACGAUGUGGGAAGGCCCAGACAGCCAGGAUGUUGGCUUAGAAGCAGCCAUCAUUUAAAGAAAGCGUAAUAGCUCACUGGUCGAGUCGGCCUGCGCGGAAGAUGUAACGGGGCUAAACCAUGCACCGAAGCUGCGGCAGCGACACUAUGUGUUGUUGGGUAGGGGAGCGUUCUGUAAGCCUGUGAAGGUGGCCUGUGAGGGUUGCUGGAGGUAUCAGAAGUGCGAAUGCUGACAUAAGUAACGAUAAAGCGGGUGAAAAGCCCGCUCGCCGGAAGACCAAGGGUUCCUGUCCAACGUUAAUCGGGGCAGGGUGAGUCGACCCCUAAGGCGAGGCCGAAAGGCGUAGUCGAUGGGAAACAGGUUAAUAUUCCUGUACUUGGUGUUACUGCGAAGGGGGGACGGAGAAGGCUAUGUUGGCCGGGCGACGGUUGUCCCGGUUUAAGCGUGUAGGCUGGUUUUCCAGGCAAAUCCGGAAAACCAAGGCUGAGGCGUGAUGACGAGGCACUACGGUGCUGAAGCGACAAAUGCCCUGCUUCCAGGAAAAGCCUCUAAGCAUCAGGUAACAUCAAAUCGUACCCCAAACCGACACAGGUGGUCAGGUAGAGAAUACCAAGGCGCUUGAGAGAACUCGGGUGAAGGAACUAGGCAAAAUGGUGCCGUAACUUCGGGAGAAGGCACGCUGAUAUGUAGGUGAAGCGACUUGCUCGUGGAGCUGAAAUCAGUCGAAGAUACCAGCUGGCUGCAACUGUUUAUUAAAAACACAGCACUGUGCAAACACGAAAGUGGACGUAUACGGUGUGACGCCUGCCCGGUGCCGGAAGGUUAAUUGAUGGGGUUAGCGGCAACGCGAAGCUCUUGAUCGAAGCCCCGGUAAACGGCGGCCGUAACUAUAACGGUCCUAAGGUAGCGAAAUUCCUUGUCGGGUAAGUUCCGACCUGCACGAAUGGCGUAAUGAUGGCCAGGCUGUCUCCACCCGAGACUCAGUGAAAUUGAACUCGCUGUGAAGAUGCAGUGUACCCGCGGCAAGACGGAAAGACCCCGUGAACCUUUACUAUAGCUUGACACUGAACAUUGAGCCUUGAUGUGUAGGAUAGGUGGGAGGCUUUGAAGUGUGGACGCCAGUCUGCAUGGAGCCGACCUUGAAAUACCACCCUUUAAUGUUUGAUGUUCUAACGUUGGCCCGUAAUCCGGGUUGCGGACAGUGUCUGGUGGGUAGUUUGACUGGGGCGGUCUCCUCCUAAAGAGUAACGGAGGAGCACGAAGGUUGGCUAAUCCUGGUCGGACAUCAGGAGGUUAGUGCAAUGGCAUAAGCCAGCUUGACUGCGAGCGUGACGGCGCGAGCAGGUGCGAAAGCAGGUCAUAGUGAUCCGGUGGUUCUGAAUGGAAGGGCCAUCGCUCAACGGAUAAAAGGUACUCCGGGGAUAACAGGCUGAUACCGCCCAAGAGUUCAUAUCGACGGCGGUGUUUGGCACCUCGAUGUCGGCUCAUCACAUCCUGGGGCUGAAGUAGGUCCCAAGGGUAUGGCUGUUCGCCAUUUAAAGUGGUACGCGAGCUGGGUUUAGAACGUCGUGAGACAGUUCGGUCCCUAUCUGCCGU